CAACAGGGAUUGCCUUAGUAGCGGCGAGUGAAGCGGCAAAAGCUCAAAUUUGAAAUCUGGCACUUUCAGUGUCCGAGUUGUAAUUUGAAGAAGGUAUCUUUGGGUCUGGCUCUUGUCUAUGUUUCUUGGAACAGAACGUCACAGAGGGUGAGAAUCCCGUGCGAUGAGAUGUCCCAGACCUAUGUAAAGUUCCUUCGAAGAGUCGAGUUGUUUGGGAAUGCAGCUCUAAGUGGGUGGUAAAUUCCAUCUAAAGCUAAAUAUUGGCGAGAGACCGAUAGCGAACAAGUACAGUGAUGGAAAGAUGAAAAGAACUUUGAAAAGAGAGUGAAAAAGUACGUGAAAUUGUUGAAAGGGAAGGGCUUGAGAUCAGACUUGGUAUUUUGUAUGUUACUCUCUCGGGGGUGGCCUCUACAGUUUACCGGGCCAGCAUCAGUUUGAGCGGUAGGAUAAGUGCAAAGAAAUGUGGCACUGCUUCAGCAGUGUGUAAUAGUCUUUGUCGAUACUGCCAGCUUAGACUGAGGACUGCGGCUUCGGCCUACGAUUUUGGCAUAAUGAUCGU
This 559-nucleotide ribosomal RNA is filed under the name Lodderomyces parapsilosis. RNAcentral describes it as "Candida parapsilosis partial large subunit ribosomal RNA". It matches the Rfam family "Eukaryotic large subunit ribosomal RNA", at positions 66 to 641 of the family's 3401-position model. The record is from RNAcentral. Lineage: Eukaryota; Fungi; Ascomycota; Pichiomycetes; Serinales; Debaryomycetaceae.